Molecule: ribosomal RNA, 488 nt
Filed under: uncultured bacterium
Lineage: Bacteria
Description: partial 16S ribosomal RNA
Rfam family: Bacterial small subunit ribosomal RNA
Source: RNAcentral
ACUCAAAGGAAUAGACGGGGACCCGCACAAGCGGUGGAGCGUGUGGUUUAAUUCGACGCUAAGCGGAGCACCUCACCCAGGUUUGACAUCCCGGUCGUAUCCCUAAGAAACUAGGGAGUCAGUCUGCUGGACCGGUGACAGGUGAUGCAUGGUCGUCGUCAGCUCGUGUCGUGAGAUGUUGGGUUAAGUCCCGCAACGAGCGCAACCCUUGUCGUAUGUUGUAUUUUUCAUACGAGACUGCCUCGGUCAACGAGGAGGAAGGCGAGGAUGACGUCAGAUCAGCAUGUCCCUUAUACCUGGGGCGACACACGCGCUACAAUGGCCAGUACAAUGGGUCGCGAAACCGUAAGGUGGAGCUAAUCCCAUCAAAGCUGGUCCCAGUUCGGAUUGGAGGCUGCAACUCGCCUCCAUGAAGCCGGAAUCGCUAGUAAACGCGGAUCAGCCACGCCGCGUUGAAUACGUUCUCGGGUCUUGCACACACCGCCCGU